This 26-nucleotide non-coding RNA is filed under the name Mus musculus (house mouse). The record is from RNAcentral. Lineage: Eukaryota; Metazoa; Chordata; Mammalia; Rodentia; Muridae.
UGAUAAAGUGAGAACCACACCCCAGA